AAGGCACUUAACCUCGUCAUGAGGGAACACAGCUGCAGGGCCUUCGCUGAGAUUCGUGACCAGAUGGCUUUGGGGCAUCCACUCUGGGCAUGGCACUGGAUUGUUCCCCAUGAGAGGAGUCAAAAAAAAAAAUGAGGGGCAGUGAUUCUAAAGAAAAUCUUGUGAAGUGAAUGGAUGGAGGCCCAACACAACAAACCCAUGCUUUCUCCCUCGGCUGCUGCUUGGGGUGUGUAUUCCUCUUCAAGUCAAUACUGUUCCAGAAAGACCCAUGGAGCCUUCGCUGUAGUACAGGAGUGUAGUGACGCAGAGUUUGGAUUUUACUUGCAGAGAAUCCCCUUCUUGGGUAAAAGGUCACUUUGCGCCUGAAGUGUGGACUUUUCUCCUCGGAGCCCUUCUGGUCGCCGUGUCUGCUACAUGAACGGUGCAGUAAAACUGCUGACGUUUGAAGUGUGUUAUUUCAUCUGCAUUACCCUCCUGGAAUACUGCUAUAUAGGGACCACUCUCAUGCCAUCUCCUCGCUCAUGAAAGCACUUGUGAUACUGGCUAAUUUUCUGAACUCAGAGAUAAUCAUUAUGUUUCUAUCACUUUACA
Hipposideros armiger (great roundleaf bat) is the source of this 591-nucleotide long non-coding RNA. RefSeq lists it as uncharacterized. The record is from RefSeq and is a predicted model, not a curated record. The transcript is spliced from 3 exons. Lineage: Eukaryota; Metazoa; Chordata; Mammalia; Chiroptera; Hipposideridae.